RNAcentral lists this ribosomal RNA (416 nucleotides) under Conothele sp. MYG532. RNAcentral's name for it is "partial 28S ribosomal RNA". It matches the Rfam family "Eukaryotic large subunit ribosomal RNA", at positions 602 to 885 of the family's 3401-position model. Lineage: Eukaryota; Metazoa; Arthropoda; Arachnida; Araneae; Ctenizidae. The record is from RNAcentral.
GUGGUCGAGCGGACGCUCCAGCAGGCGAUUGCCCGUGCGGUCGUCCCACUCUUGGAGUGGACGGUCCUCUGGUGGCGCCGUUGGCGAGGAUGCGUUCCGCGCGGGGUUCAGGCGGCUUGUGGCGAGUAGGUCGGUCACCCACCCGACCCGUCUUGAAACACGGACCAAGGAGUCUAACAUGUGCGCGAGUCACGGGGUCUUGUUCAGGCCCAGAGGCGCAAUGAAAGUGAAGGUCGACCUCGACGUCGGCCGUGUUGGGACUCUCCGCCCUCGCGGCGGGGAAGCACCAACGACCCGUCCUAUCCGAUUCAUCGGUUGGGCGGAGUGUGAGCGUACACGUUGGGACCCGAAAGAUGGUGAACUAUGCCUGGGCAGGACGAAGCCAGAGGAAACUCUGGUGGAGGUCCGUAGCGGUU